This 201-nucleotide long non-coding RNA is filed under the name Elaeis guineensis (African oil palm). RNAcentral's name for it is "long non-coding RNA (EGUI_LNC066109)". Lineage: Eukaryota; Viridiplantae; Streptophyta; Magnoliopsida; Arecales; Arecaceae. The record is from RNAcentral.
GGAGGGAUGAAUCUUUUUGGUCUUUAACUGAUGGUUGUAGCUCUAUAAGUGCAGUAGUAAUAGGCUUCAAAAUUGAAAACAAGUGAGCAUUUGAAUCACUAUUGAUGGUGAUAAGGCUGUACUUCCUUCAUCCGUGUUCCCCUCCUAUUGUUUCUUCCUUUACACAUUUAUAGGUUUUAGGAAGGUUUGAUAUGGCCUUUC